AUUGAACGCUGGCGGCAUGCCUUACACAUGCAAGUCGAACGGCAGCACGGGGCAACCUGGUGGCGAGUGGCGAACGGGUGAGUAAUGCAUCGGAACGUGCCAUUGAGUGGGGGGUAACGUAGCGAAAGUUGCGCUAAUACCGCAUAUUCUGUGAGCAGGAAAGCAGGGGGACCGCAAGGCCUUGCGCUCUUUGAGCGGCCGAUGUCAGAUUAGCUAGUUGGUGAGGUAACGGCUUACCAAGGCGACGAUCUGUAGCGGGUCUGAGAGGAUGAUCCGCCACACUGGAACUGAGACACGGUCCAGACUCCUACGGGAGGCAGCAGUGGGGAAUUUUGGACAAUGGGCGCAAGCCUGAUCCAGCCAUGCCGCGUGAGUGAAGAAGGCC
This 385-nucleotide ribosomal RNA is filed under the name uncultured bacterium. RNAcentral describes it as "bacterial SSU rRNA". It matches the Rfam family "Bacterial small subunit ribosomal RNA", at positions 30 to 416 of the family's 1533-position model. The record is from RNAcentral.